RNAcentral lists this unclassified non-coding RNA (336 nucleotides) under soil metagenome. Its description in RNAcentral is "partial contains 5.8S ribosomal RNA, internal transcribed spacer 2, and large subunit ribosomal RNA". The stretch from base 1 to 120 matches the Rfam family "5.8S ribosomal RNA", at positions 35 to 154 of the family's 154-position model. The record is from RNAcentral.
GAUGAAGAACGUAGCGAAAUGCGAUAAGUAAUGUGAAUUGCAGAAUUCAGUGAAUCAUCGAAUCUUUGAACGCACAUUGCGCCCGCCGGUAUUCCGGCGGGCAUGCCUGUUCGAGCGUCAUUUCAACCAUCAAGCCCCAGGCUUGUGUUGGGGACCUGCGGCUGCCGCAGGCCCUGAAAACCAGUGGCGGGCUCGCUGUCACACCGGGCGUAGUAGAUUUUAUCUCGCUCAGGGCGUGCUGCGGGUUCCGGCCGUUAAAAAGCCUUUUUUACCCAAGGUUGACCUCGGAUCAGGUAGGAAGACCCGCUGAACUUAAGCAUAUCAAUAAGCGGAGGA